Molecule: long non-coding RNA, 738 nt
Organism: Vidua chalybeata
Lineage: Eukaryota; Metazoa; Chordata; Aves; Passeriformes; Viduidae
Exons: 3
Source: RefSeq, a predicted model, not a curated record
GGCUCUGUGGGGUCCUGUGGCAUGGAGCCCACUGGGGGAGGGGCAACAUCUACUUGGCCCCUCUUCUUGCGGGAUGAGGCUGUGCAGUCCCCACGGCAGGCAGUGGCUGAGGAACCCAUUUGGGGCAGGGAGCUGUGCCAGCUGCAGAUUGAGCUCUGGCUGGCAGGAGCCCAGGACCAGAGGCUGUGAACUGCCCAUGCUUUGCAUAACAGAGGGCACAGGGAGCUGUGGCACUGGCCAGGAUUUGAAUGGACACCGAGCGCUGCAGCAGGAGCCGGUGGUUCUUUAUGGAACGCAACAUCUGCGAGUCUGCUGGGGAAAUCCUGAGGUUGAAUGGGUAUGGAAACUCUAAGCUGGUCUGCUGACUGGACAGGGUUCUUUAAGGCAUCACUUGAAGCCAAGAAGAGUAUUCAGAAGCAGAUGGAGUGACACUUAGCUCAAGGCAUUUUGAAGCGUUCCAUUAGAUGAAGAAAGUCAAUGUUCACUUGCCUUCACCUGGAAAAGAGAGGUGAAAACUGCCUUCAACAAGACGACCCCAUGGCAGUCUACCCCAAGUCUACGCUUCAAAAGUCUCCUGGCCCAACAGAAUCAAAGUUUGAACGGAAAGGGCAAAAAUUUUGGUGCAGAUUUGUACAGGUUGUAGAUGAUUUGUUAAUUAGCGAGUUGAGAUAAGAAGGUUCUUUCCCAUCCUGUGGUGAUUCUGUGCAGCACUCUGGAAAACAAGCACAUCAAGUUGUA